This 291-nucleotide ribosomal RNA is filed under the name uncultured Desulfobulbus sp. Its description in RNAcentral is "partial 16S ribosomal RNA". It matches the Rfam family "Bacterial small subunit ribosomal RNA", at positions 1091 to 1382 of the family's 1533-position model. Lineage: Bacteria; Pseudomonadati; Thermodesulfobacteriota; Desulfobulbia; Desulfobulbales; Desulfobulbaceae. The record is from RNAcentral.
AACGAGCGCAACCCUUGCCUUUAGUGCCAGCAGUUCGGCUGGGCACUCUAAAGGGACUGCCGGGUGUUAAACCGGAGGAAGGUGGGGAUGACGUCAAGUCCUCAUGGCCUUUAUGACCAGGGCUACACACGUACUACAAUGGCCGAUACAAAGGGCAGCGACACUGCGAGGUGAAGCCAAUCCCGUAAAAUCGGUCUCAGUCCGGAUUGGAGUCUGCAACUCGACUCCAUGAAGUUGGAAUCGCUAGUAAUCGUGGAUCAGCAUGCCACGGUGAAUACGUUCCCGGGCCUU